RNAcentral lists this unclassified non-coding RNA (211 nucleotides) under plant metagenome. RNAcentral describes it as "partial contains small subunit ribosomal RNA, internal transcribed spacer 1, and 5.8S ribosomal RNA". The record is from RNAcentral.
UUUCCGUAGGUGAACCUGCGGAAGGAUCAUUCAUAAUAAAGUGUUUUAUGGCACUUUUUAAAAAUCCAUAUCCACCUUGUGUGCAAUGUUAGAUCUCGUCAAUCUUGGCGAGAUUUUUAUACAUCAACUCAUUUUUUAACUAAUUUGUCUGAAAAAUAUUAUGAAUACUUAAUUCAAAAUUCAACUUUCAACAACGGAUCUCUUGGCUCUC